AAUCUUAACUCUACUUUGUCAAACAUAUCAUCAACUAUUAAAGGCAUUCCACUGUAAUAAGCAUCACGUGCCUGUCGGUAGAGGGCUUCUAAGGUUUCUUUGCUAGCUGUUUCAAUAGGUCCGACGAAAAUACAGGAAGGUCCUAGAGGUGCCUCUCGCUCUUCACAAGUGGAUACGCCAUGGCUCCGGGCGGAUAUCCGUACCGGAAACGAAGCUCCGGCGCGAGAGUUGCUUCUGGUCAGCUCAAUUACAGUGGAACCGAGCACGCGGCGAGCGAUGGGAGACCACGCGCCGUCCAUGAACCGGAAGGAGAUUGUGGUUACGUGAUACAGCAGAGAAAUUUUGAAGAAAGGAGAGGUCAGG
RNAcentral lists this unclassified non-coding RNA (363 nucleotides) under Hevea brasiliensis (rubber tree). Lineage: Eukaryota; Viridiplantae; Streptophyta; Magnoliopsida; Malpighiales; Euphorbiaceae. The record is from RNAcentral.